RNAcentral lists this transfer RNA (73 nucleotides) under Candidatus Omnitrophota bacterium. RNAcentral describes it as "tRNA-Lys". It matches the Rfam family "tRNA". From Rfam's summary of the family: Transfer RNA (tRNA) molecules are approximately 80 nucleotides in length. Their secondary structure includes four short double-helical elements and three loops (D, anti-codon, and T loops). The record is from RNAcentral. Lineage: Bacteria; Pseudomonadati; Candidatus Omnitrophota.
GGGCCACUAGCUCAGCAGGCAGAGCACCACCCUUUUAAGGUGGGUGUGCCGCGUUCGAGUCGCGGGUGGCUCA